Molecule: ribosomal RNA, 237 nt
Filed under: uncultured bacterium
Lineage: Bacteria
Description: partial 16S ribosomal RNA
Rfam family: Bacterial small subunit ribosomal RNA
Source: RNAcentral
UGGAGCAAAUCUCAAAAAGCCGUCCCAGUUCGGAUCGCAGGCUGCAACCCGCCUGCGUGAAGUUGGAAUCGCUAGUAGUCGCGGAUCAGCAUGCCGCGGUGAAUACGUUCCCGGGCCUUGUACACACCGCCCGUCACACCAUGAGAGUCGGGAACACCCGAAGUCCGUAGCCUAACCGCAAGGGGGGCGCGGCCGAAGGUGGGUUCGAUAAUUGGGGUGAAGUCGUAACAAGGUAUC